Molecule: ribosomal RNA, 253 nt
Filed under: uncultured bacterium
Lineage: Bacteria
Description: partial 16S ribosomal RNA
Rfam family: Bacterial small subunit ribosomal RNA
Source: RNAcentral
UACGUAGGAUGCAAGCGUUGUCCGGAAUUAUUGGGCGUAAAGAGCGCGCAGGCGGUAUGACAAGUCAGAUGUGAAAGAGGCCGGCUUAACCGGCAAGGGUCAUUUGAAACUGUCAGACUAGAGUGCAGCAGAGGAUAGUGGAAUUCCCGGUGUAGUGGUGAAAUGCGUAGAUAUCGGGAGGAACACCAGUGGCGAAGGCGGCUUUCUGGUCUGUAACUGACGCUGAGGCGCGAAAGCGUGGGGAGCAAACAGG